AUUGAACGCUGGCGGCAUGCCUUACACAUGCAAGUCGAACGGCAGCAUGGAGAGCUUGCUCUCUGAUGGCGAGUGGCGAACGGGUGAGUAAUGCAUCGGAACGUACCGUGUAAUGGGGGAUAACGUAGCGAAAGUUACGCUAAUACCGCAUACGAUCUACGGAUGAAAGCGGGGGAUCGCAAGACCUCGCGCGAUUGGAGCGGCCGAUAUCAGAUUAGGUAGUUGGUGGGGUAAAGGCCUACCAAGCCGACGAUCCUUAGCUGGUCUGAGAGGAUGAUCAGCCACACUGGGACUGAGACACGGCCCCAGACUCCUACGGGAGGCAGCAGUGGGGAAUAUUGGACAAUGGGCGAAAGCCUGAUCCAGCCAUGCCGCGUGUGUGAAGAAGGUCUUCGGAUUGUAAAGCACUUUAAGUUGGGAGGAAGGGCAGUAACCUAAUACGUUAUUGUUUUGACGUUACCGACAGAAUAAGCACCGGCUAACUUCGUG
RNAcentral lists this ribosomal RNA (489 nucleotides) under uncultured bacterium. Its description in RNAcentral is "bacterial SSU rRNA". It matches the Rfam family "Bacterial small subunit ribosomal RNA", at positions 30 to 507 of the family's 1533-position model. The record is from RNAcentral.